Nomia melanderi (Alkali bee) is the source of this 2460-nucleotide non-coding RNA. Lineage: Eukaryota; Metazoa; Arthropoda; Insecta; Hymenoptera; Halictidae. The record is from RefSeq and is a predicted model, not a curated record.
AGCCGCGAACUCCGCGGAACGGAUCCCGCAUGCCACGCGGCGGCGAGGUCCGCCGGUAGUUCGGGCUCGGUCGGCCGCGACGAUCGGUCCCCGGAAUGUAUAACCCUCGCACCGAACGCUACCGGUUCGAGUGUCGCGGCGUAGAAUUCCGCUUCGACGGAAUGUCACUGAGAGGAAUCCCUUUUCGACGGAAUAUUCGCGACCGUCGCUAUCUCUCCGCCGACCGUUUAUCUGACUCCGGCGAGGACUUCCGGUCGUGGCGACAACGAAAGGCAGCCCGAAAACCGUCAGAUUUCAUCGGAUAUGUACCGAGCAAGUUCACCGAACGAAAGAGGAGCUGCUCAAGCGAGCCUCGACGAACGUGGACUCCUGGUGCGCGGGGCAUUCGCGAGUCGAUGGCGUAAUUGGCGCGGAUUGUCUCGAUUCCUGCUGGGAAAACAGCUGCUUGGCAUUGCGGGAUGAUGAUUUUAUCGUGAACGGCGCGUGACUUUGCCUCGCAUCGGAUAAAACUACGAGCACGUGAAGUGGCAGUUCGGGUACCAUCGGGAUUGAAGGAACCCUUCGAAAUUCUUCUUGGCCCAACUACUACGUUCAACAUUGGAAAAAAGAGAAUUUUACACCGAACUCAUUUUACAUUGGAAAAGUAAUCACCCGAAGAUCAAACGGCCGAAGUUGACACGCGUCUUCAUCAGCAUCGAACGAAUUCGCCGGGGGAAACGGAGAAAGUCCAAGAGAUCAUCGAUUUCGUUCGCAACGUUCGAUUCGAGUUUACCGGACAUCGUCGAUAGAUCUUCCGCGAGAUUCCUCGACGCUGUGAAAAUCGUGCAGACAUCCCAGGCAUCCGGUGUAGCACGCGUCGGCCAGCCGACAGUCGAUCCGUCCCUGAUCGUCAAUCCUCAUUCAACCGUCCGGCAGCUCGUAAAAGCCGCACACGCGCGCGGAUUCACGGUCGUUUCGCCGUUUCGAGCGGAUCUCCCACACGCGCGGCCUUUUACGCGGCGAUUAAAAACGAAAACGAGCGCGAAUGGCUUUAAGCCGGCCGUUUAAUCGUUCAAUUUCACGCGCGCGACGAUAAUCGCGUGCGAUACCGCGGAUAGCGCGUCAGGCGGCGCGCGGCUUAUCGCGCGGAACAGCCGGUAGAUCGGCCGCGCCUCGCCGAACGAUGUUUAUGGAAAUUUAAUGGCGCCUCGUAAAUUUGUAACGCGUUAUCGGGGUUAAGUGUUCCCUCGGCUUUCUCUGUCGAUGCUCGCGAAUUACCCCUUCGCCUUGUCGCGUCGAGUCAGAGUCCUCGUUCGAGAUUUCGAAAUGAAUCGGGUGCAAUGGGAACGCUUCUUUUCCAGUUGAAGUCGGGUACGCUUUUCUUGUUACCGUUUAUUCUCGGUAUUCGGCUCGCGUGCCGCACGUCGGUUUAUAACGAACGUAGAAUUUCUGGUUUUUUGGGGAAUCGAUAGCGACGAAGUAGGUUUCGCGAGCGUGAUCGGCGAAGGAGUUAUAGAGGAUUGAUCCGUUCAGUUGCUUUAUACGAAUUUACGCGAAGCGACCGUGGUAUUUGGUAAUUCCGUUGGGAAGUAGCGUGCAAGCGAUCGGUUUUUUUCGAAUUGUCGAGGGAAUCCGUGAGAAGUUCGCGUGGCGGAUCGCUGGAAAAGGACGACGAGGCACGGAGGGGAAGAGGGCAGGCUCGAUCGAGACGAGAACCCUUGACCCAGAUGCCAUCCGACAAACAAAAUAUUCGAUAAAUAUGCGCCAAGGCUCCGGCGUCGCGGAAACUCGUGGCUCGAGCCGAUCGGAACACAACCGAACGCCUCGAACGUGUUGAUCCGCGCGAGUGUCCUGAAUGAUAACACUACGACGAAAAGCUCGAGCUGCGAAUAUUCGGUUUUGGUAGAGUUUCCAGUCUGUAAUAGGAACCUGGAGGAAAAACUAUCACUCUCGGUUUUUGAGAAAUUUAAUUGCGAAACGAACAUGUCGAACGUUCAAUGUCCAAUGUUUAAAAUUCGAAUUUCAAAUGAUAAACUUCCACUGGAAAUUUGAGUGUCAAAUUUCGAAUUCUAAAUUUCAAAUUCCAACCUGGAGCGCCAUUUCACGUUCUCAAUUGAAACCUCCGUUCGUAUUCCGUUCAUUUCCGAGGUUCAUAGACGCAUAGGGAACAAACAAUUCCAAUGAAUACCAAAACACGAAAAUCAUCAUCUAAACGAGUUGGAAACACGUCAGCCGACCAGCCGAAACUGCGCAGGACUAUAAAAAGACAAAUCCUCGAAAGCGGCGCGACAAGUGUACUUGGUCUGGGCGUGUCCGAGGAUAAAACGGUCCUUCGUUAAGGCUGCGCCGCGCGCGCCAUUUUCCAGUUCUGCAGAGAGACCGGGGAUUCCCGGUCGCGGAUCGGCAUUCCGCGUCUAAAGAAAACUAGAACGGCGCGAGUUAAUUGGACCGAGCCCGGCUGAUUAGCCGGUGGGAUUGAAA